Molecule: ribosomal RNA, 493 nt
Filed under: Xanthomonas translucens pv. translucens
Lineage: Bacteria; Pseudomonadati; Pseudomonadota; Gammaproteobacteria; Lysobacterales; Lysobacteraceae
Description: bacterial SSU rRNA
Rfam family: Bacterial small subunit ribosomal RNA
Source: RNAcentral
UCAGAGUGAACGCUGGCGGCAGGCCUAACACAUGCAAGUCGACGGCAGCACAGUGGUAGCAAUACCAUGGGUGGCGAGUGGCGGACGGGUGAGGAAUACAUCGGAAUCUACCUUUUCGUGGGGGAUAACGUAGGGAAACUUACGCUAAUACCGCAUACGACCUUAGGGUGAAAGCGGAGGACCUUCGGGCUUCGCGCGGAUAGAUGAGCCGAUGUCGGAUUAGCUAGUUGGCGGGGUAAAGGCCCACCAAGGCGACGAUCCGUAGCUGGUCUGAGAGGAUGAUCAGCCACACUGGAACUGAGACACGGUCCAGACUCCUACGGGAGGCAGCAGUGGGGAAUAUUGGACAAUGGGCGCAAGCCUGAUCCAGCCAUGCCGCGUGGGUGAAGAAGGCCUUCGGGUUGUAAAGCCCUUUUGUUGGGAAAGAAAAGCAGUCGGUUAAUACCCGAUUGUUCUGACGGUACCCAAAGAAUAAGCACCGGCUAACUUCGUG